Carassius gibelio (silver crucian carp) is the source of this 15261-nucleotide long non-coding RNA. RefSeq lists it as uncharacterized. NCBI's taxonomy places the organism in Eukaryota, Metazoa, Chordata, Actinopteri, Cypriniformes, Cyprinidae. The record is from RefSeq and is a predicted model, not a curated record. The transcript has 5 exons.
GAGAGUUUUCCCAGGAUGGGACCCUGAGGGUCCCACUCUGGGUUGUGCACGGUCCAUCCCUCCACUGGUCACCCCCAAAUCACAUACAGACCAAGAGAGGUCACAGCAGGCCAACUGUUAAGGGCUGUUCAUAGGGCUAUUGAGGCCAGGGCUAUUCAGUUUAGGUCUGGUUAAGUUUAGGUUUGUGCAGGAUGGGUCUGUAAAAUCCAGGUAUGAAUCCUGGGGUGUCUGGUAGGUUUUAGGUUUGGAUAUGGUGGGUUGGUUAGGUUUAGGUUGUGUUAUGGUUAGUCGGUUAGGUUUUAGGUUUGGGUUAAGGUCAGGUAGAUCUGCUAAGUCUCAUUAAGACCUCUUGGGAAUUUUGUAUCCAGUCUCAUGAUCCAUAAUCUUUCAUAUUUAAGUCUAUCACACAACGACCAGAAUGGGUCGGAUUGAAGUCCAGUCACCCUGAAGGCCUCAAGGCCGUGGGUGAGGAAGUGCUGGACUACGUGUCUACGUUUCUCUAUUUUAUUUUUUAUGUUGUGUGUGUGCUGAUAGACUCGGACCUUUAAAGCAUUUUUUGUCUGGCCUACAUAUUGUUUGGAACACUUUGUACAAUAAAUCAAAUAAAUACAGUUCUCUGUUACUGGAGUGAGAUGCUGUGAGAUCUGAAAGACUUGUUUUGUUGAACGAUUGAAUACCCAUUUUUGCUGAUCAAAGUAUUUACAGAGUGACUUUUUCUUCUGUGGUGCCAUAGGUCUGAGUUUGCUAUUUACUAGAACGUCUGAUAGAUUUGUAUUUCUCCUAUAGGCAGCUAUUUGUUUGUGUUUCUGUAAGAAGGGAGUGUUUUCAAAGAACCUUUCAAAAUUAGACUUAGCUGCACGGUUUAAUUGUUUGCUCAUUAGCGAGAAAUUGGACACUAAUGGAAUAAUUUUGUUCUUUUCACCCUCUUUAGGGUCCCUUGGAGUCCCGGGGAGGAGAAAAGUCUUCAGAGCCCUUCUUAAGAAGGACCUCGAGUAUCCUCUGUCCCUCAGGGCCCUGAACAGAAUUUUGGUUGCUUCCAUAAAACAGGAAUGUUCUGUGCAUAUCCUGUGAAAUCUGAGUAAUUGAGAUUUCACUAUACCUUUAAAUGUAUGUUUAGGAUGGAAGCUGUGUUUGUGCAGUAAGGAAUGCGUGUCCGUUUCUUUGAAAUACACUCUAAAGUCUAGCUGUCCUGUCUCUUCAAAUUUCUGUCCCUUAUAUGACACCACAUCUAGAAAGUUGACCUCUGUGGGGUCAAUUGUAUAUUUAAUUGUAAUCGAUCUCUGAUGGGUAUUCAAGUGUUCUGCAAAGUCCCUAAAAUCAUCCAUGGAGUAAGACCACACUCCCCAUAUGUCAUCCAGAAAUCUAAAGUAAUGCAGAGGCCUUUUUGUGCACGAACCCAGAGCCGAUUGUUCCCAUCUCGCCAUGAAGAUGUUGGCGUAGGAAGGGGCAAACUUUUUGCCCAUGGCUGUGCCUUUAACUUGCAAAUAAUAUUUAGAAUUAAAUUCAAAGUCAUUUUUAGUUAAGUUUAUAUCUAAUAAUUUUAAAAUAUAAUCAUCAGGCCUUUUUGGGUCUGGAUAUUGAAGCAUGCACUCCUGGACCGCCUGGAGGCCCGCUUCAGUUUCUAUGUUCGUAUAUAAGCUGUCAAUAUCUAUGGUGAACAAAAAGGCUCCUCUGGGAAUACUGAUGUCUUUAACUUUCUGGAUGAAGUCAUAAGUGUCCUUCAGAUAGCUCGGGUGUUUCUGAGAGAUGGGGUUGAGAUAAUACUCGAUGUACUCAGCUGUCUGAUAAGUUUCACUGUUGCAAUCAGACACUAUGGGUCUGCCGGGUGGAAUCUCGUGUGGAAUACUCCAUUUUUCAGGCUCCUUGUGAAUCUUAGGCAAUAAAUAAAAUCUUCUCAUUCGAGGAGUGCCACUGCCGCUUAAAUAAUCCCUCUGUUUUGAGUUAAUGAUACCCUUGUCAUACAUCUGUUCUAAGAUUUUUCUAACCUGUUUCAUGGUUUCAAAAUAAAUGGGUUCUUCUAAGGGUUUGUAGUGGUCACUGAUGUUUAAUUGUCUCUCUCCCUCCCAGACAUAUUGCUCUCUAUCCAUGAUGACAAUGGCAUUUCCCUUGUCAGCAGGUUUAAUGACAAUUUCUCUGAGGUUUUUUAGUGUGUUCAAGGCCCUCAGUUCCUCCCUCUGGAGGUUGGGCCUUGGUUUCAAGCUCCAAUUCAAGUUCUUAUAAGCAUACUCAUCAGCUGUGAUCAGCUGGCCUACUUGUUUGGGAAGUCUGCUCAAGGCCGGAGUCCAAUCUGAAUUGUGUGUGAAAGAGAUAAUGUUUUCCAUUUUUUUGGAAGUUUCCCCCCUCUCUGUCUCCUGAGGAGCCCCUGGUUGAAGAGAUGUCACAGAAUAUUCUGAAAAAUCAAAGUCUGAGAGAUUGGGUGACCCUGACGGAUUUUGGAAGAUCUGGGCACUCUCAGCUGUGUCCCUUAGAGGAUUUACUCUAUGUACUGCAUUGGCUACAAUGGGGACCAGAGAAGGCAGGCCUGUGGUUAUCGGGGCCUCAGCCUCAGAGGGGGCAAAAGGAGAGAAAAGUUCCUGUGACAGCUGACCCGUAAACUCAUCUAAAUCAUCCAGUCUGUCACCCUGUGCAGGAGUUAACUGAUCCUCCUCCUCAUCAUCAUCAUCAAAACUCACUAAGAGAUUUUUCUCAGCUUGUUCUGUAACGACUGGUGGAGUUUUUGGUCUCUGUUCGGUCAGGUGUUUUUUCUUUUCUGGUCUUUUCCCCUUAGGAGACUGUAUAGGGGCCUGUAUAGGGGCCUGUAUAGGGGCCUGUACAGGAGGGUUCAGAGGUGGAAAAUCAUCUCCCAGAAGCCAGUCGUUCCUCAUAGGAGACCAGCCUGACAUUAAAGUGGGCGAUGUUUGUAUCUGGAUGUGUGUGACCCCUGUCUUAGGUCUGACGACCCCUGUGUUGACCGUUUCUGUCCCCUGCUGAGCUGAGGCUAGAUCUGCACCACUAACCACCUGAGCAAAUGUUCUGUUGCUACUGGUUUCAGAAUUCGAUGGUACUCUAGACCCGGAUGGAGUCCCAGAACGCAAUUCGGUCAGGACCAAAGUUUCGGCCUGCUGAAUUGCCCUCUGGGAGAUCCUUUUGCCAAAAUUUCUCAUCGCCCAUUUGACAGCGAUCUCGAAAGCGUGUAACCAGUCUUUUCUCUGUGUCUCUCCCCGUAAGAUCCCCAGUGUGUGCUUUAUGAUAUCCUCAUAAUGUUGCUGUAACACCAACUGUGUCGUAAACGCCCAGUUCUUUGCAUUACCCUCCAGCAAUUCUUUUGUGGACAUUGUGGGGGCAAAGGGUUUGAUCACACUUUUAAGAAGCUCUGUUAACCUUUUAAGAGUGACAGGCUGGUUAUCUUCUAUCCGUGUGUCAAUAUUACUGAGGUGAUGGACAGAUCUGAUCAGAUGAUACAUAUUCUUAAUAAUUCUCCGAAAAGUGGGAGAAGCAGGAGAGUAUUCUGUAUUUUUUUGUGAAUCAAAGUGAGUUUUUUGGCCCAUUCUUUUUUUCUGGUGAACAUAUUUUUGUGCAAACUGGCCAUUCUCACGUCUCCUGUUCUUUUCUACAUUACGAGGAGAAUAUUGUGUGUUUCUGUAUCUCUGGUCAGUAAACCUGUUCUGUUCAGUGGGGUAAAAAAUCUUAUUUUGCCCAAAAGUCACUCUCUUUUGUUUGGGUUUAAAUCCCCGAUUUAAAGGGCGUCGAUCACGUGACUGACGACGGAAAGGAUUUACAGUAUUCUCCGAUCGAGUUUCAUUCUGUACUCUGUUACUGUAACCCGCGAGUGAUUCUCCGUGUCUGAUGACCUCAUAUGGGAAGUCACGAGAUCGCUCGACAAAAUAAUCGUCCCUCAUAAAUCGUCCCCGUCUGGGGAAAUCCCUGUUAUCUGUGUGAGGGAUCAGACGCGCUCGAGGGGUCGUGAAACGACCCUUGUUCUGAAAAACGAACACCAUCCUUAUUUUACUGAACGAUCAAAUCCACAACUGUGUAUUCUUUUAAUCUUUUAUUCUAUUUCUGAAAAUUAAAAAAAAUGUUUUUUUUGUCCUUUUAUAUUUUUUUAACUUUUUUUGGGAUUUUCUUGUGUUUUUUUUAACAAUAAAGAGAUAAACCAACUUUUUUUGGAUUUUUUAGUGUUUUUUUUAACAGUAUGAAAUGAACCAGAUGUGUGAUUUUAUAUGAAAUCAAAAGAAAAGAUCAAAGGAUCAAAAUAAAAUUUCAAAAUAAUGGAAAAAAACAAAAAUAUAUUUUCUUUUAGGGAAAUAAAUGUUUCUGUGUUCAAGCCUAUAUCGCGACGUUUCGAUACUUUGAUGUAUCUUCUUCAGGCAGGCUUGAACUUUUCAAUUUUCUGUUUUAUCUCGAGAUACAAAAUAACCGUUUUACUAAAUCACCAACCAAGAUGUUACUGCAAGCAGUGCAACAAUCCUUCUGACUCGGACUGCGUUCCGUUAGGUAUAUCAAAGCCAGUCGAUGACGUCAUCGGCACGCCAUCCUCCAAUCCCUUCAAACCAAUACAAAAUUUAAACCAAACAAGCACACGAUGCAUUUUUCAAAUUUGAAUUAUGUGCGUUGCAUUUUUUAUUUUUUAUUUAUUUUUAGUCGAUGCAUGUUGCUUUUUUUUAUAUAGAGAAUUUUUUUCUUUGCUUUUUUCAAAUUUAAACGAUGCUCUUUGCCUCUUUCAAUUUGAAAAAUGCAGCUCCUCAGUCUGCAUGUAACAAAGAAAACAAUGCAUCCCUCAAAUGUGCUCCAAGUAGCCAUAAACAAUGUUUUUUAAUCAUUUAUGACUAUUAAAGCCCUCUAGUGCCUCAUAAUAUAUGUAUUUUUAUUUAUUGUAUAUUUAUGUAUAUUCAGUUCUGUUUCUAUAUGUUUUUCACAAUCAUCUCUUUCUGUUUUAUAGAUAGAUACUGAAAAAAAUAUAUUCUAGUGCCCAUGAAGUAUUUAUAAUUUUAUCUUUAUGCUUUUUUAUGCUUUUUAUAUUUGUAUUAUAUUUAACCUCGUGUGUCUUUAUAAGUAAUCCAUGAAAACCAUGAAUUCUAGUGCCCAUGAAGUAUGUAUUCAUAUUUUAAUUUUUUAAUAUGUAUUAGGGUGUAUAUUUAUUUAUUUUAAUAAUAAUAAAAAAUAAGAACAUAUGAAAGCCCAUAAAGUGUGGUUCCGCUGAGUACCCACUAGAGGUCAUGAGAAGAGAGGGCCCAGAGAGGGAGGCUCAGGCUGGGUUAGGAAAAAGGAGAGUUUUCCCAGGAUGGGACCCUGAGGGUCCCACUCUGGGUUGUGCACGGUCCAUCCCUCCACUGGUCACCCCCAAAUCACAUACAGACCAAGAGAGGUCACAGCAGGCCAACUGUUAAGGGCUGUUCAUAGGGCUAUUGAGGCCAGGGCUAUUCAGUUUAGGUCUGGUUAAGUUUAGGUUUGUGCAGGAUGGGUCUGUAAAAUCCAGGUAUGAAUCCUGGGGUGUCUGGUAGGUUUUAGGUUUGGAUAUGGUGGGUUGGUUAGGUUUAGGUUGUGUUAUGGUUAGUCGGUUAGGUUUUAGGUUUGGGUUAAGGUCAGGUAGAUCUGCUAAGUCUCAUUAAGACCUCUUGGGAAUUUUGUAUCCAGUCUCAUGAUCCAUAAUCUUUCAUAUUUAAGUCUAUCACACAACGACCAGAAUGGGUCGGAUUGAAGUCCAGUCACCCUGAAGGCCUCAAGGCCGUGGGUGAGGAAGUGCUGGACUACGUGUCUACGUUUCUCUAUUUUAUUUUUUAUGUUGUGUGUGUGCUGAUAGACUCGGACCUUUAAAGCAUUUUUUGUCUGGCCUACAUAUUGUUUGGAACACUUUGUACAAUAAAUCAAAUAAAUACAGUUCUCUGUUACUGGAGUGAGAUGCUGUGAGAUCUGAAAGACUUGUUUUGUUGAACGAUUGAAUACCCAUUUUUGCUGAUCAAAGUAUUUACAGAGUGACUUUUUCUUCUGUGGUGCCAUAGGUCUGAGUUUGCUAUUUACUAGAACGUCUGAUAGAUUUGUAUUUCUCCUAUAGGCAGCUAUUUGUUUGUGUUUCUGUAAGAAGGGAGUGUUUUCAAAGAACCUUUCAAAAUUAGACUUAGCUGCACGGUUUAAUUGUUUGCUCAUUAGCGAGAAAUUGGACACUAAUGGAAUAAUUUUGUUCUUUUCACCCUCUUUAGGGUCCCUUGGAGUCCCGGGGAGGAGAAAAGUCUUCAGAGCCCUUCUUAAGAAGGACCUCGAGUAUCCUCUGUCCCUCAGGGCCCUGAACAGAAUUUUGGUUGCUUCCAUAAAACAGGAAUGUUCUGUGCAUAUCCUGUGAAAUCUGAGUAAUUGAGAUUUCACUAUACCUUUAAAUGUAUGUUUAGGAUGGAAGCUGUGUUUGUGCAGUAAGGAAUGCGUGUCCGUUUCUUUGAAAUACACUCUAAAGUCUAGCUGUCCUGUCUCUUCAAAUUUCUGUCCCUUAUAUGACACCACAUCUAGAAAGUUGACCUCUGUGGGGUCAAUUGUAUAUUUAAUUGUAAUCGAUCUCUGAUGGGUAUUCAAGUGUUCUGCAAAGUCCCUAAAAUCAUCCAUGGAGUAAGACCACACUCCCCAUAUGUCAUCCAGAAAUCUAAAGUAAUGCAGAGGCCUUUUUGUGCACGAACCCAGAGCCGAUUGUUCCCAUCUCGCCAUGAAGAUGUUGGCGUAGGAAGGGGCAAACUUUUUGCCCAUGGCUGUGCCUUUAACUUGCAAAUAAUAUUUAGAAUUAAAUUCAAAGUCAUUUUUAGUUAAGUUUAUAUCUAAUAAUUUUAAAAUAUAAUCAUCAGGCCUUUUUGGGUCUGGAUAUUGAAGCAUGCACUCCUGGACCGCCUGGAGGCCCGCUUCAGUUUCUAUGUUCGUAUAUAAGCUGUCAAUAUCUAUGGUGAACAAAAAGGCUCCUCUGGGAAUACUGAUGUCUUUAACUUUCUGGAUGAAGUCAUAAGUGUCCUUCAGAUAGCUCGGGUGUUUCUGAGAGAUGGGGUUGAGAUAAUACUCGAUGUACUCAGCUGUCUGAUAAGUUUCACUGUUGCAAUCAGACACUAUGGGUCUGCCGGGUGGAAUCUCGUGUGGAAUACUCCAUUUUUCAGGCUCCUUGUGAAUCUUAGGCAAUAAAUAAAAUCUUCUCAUUCGAGGAGUGCCACUGCCGCUUAAAUAAUCCCUCUGUUUUGAGUUAAUGAUACCCUUGUCAUACAUCUGUUCUAAGAUUUUUCUAACCUGUUUCAUGGUUUCAAAAUAAAUGGGUUCUUCUAAGGGUUUGUAGUGGUCACUGAUGUUUAAUUGUCUCUCUCCCUCCCAGACAUAUUGCUCUCUAUCCAUGAUGACAAUGGCAUUUCCCUUGUCAGCAGGUUUAAUGACAAUUUCUCUGAGGUUUUUUAGUGUGUUCAAGGCCCUCAGUUCCUCCCUCUGGAGGUUGGGCCUUGGUUUCAAGCUCCAAUUCAAGUUCUUAUAAGCAUACUCAUCAGCUGUGAUCAGCUGGCCUACUUGUUUGGGAAGUCUGCUCAAGGCCGGAGUCCAAUCUGAAUUGUGUGUGAAAGAGAUAAUGUUUUCCAUUUUUUUGGAAGUUUCCCCCCUCUCUGUCUCCUGAGGAGCCCCUGGUUGAAGAGAUGUCACAGAAUAUUCUGAAAAAUCAAAGUCUGAGAGAUUGGGUGACCCUGACGGAUUUUGGAAGAUCUGGGCACUCUCAGCUGUGUCCCUUAGAGGAUUUACUCUAUGUACUGCAUUGGCUACAAUGGGGACCAGAGAAGGCAGGCCUGUGGUUAUCGGGGCCUCAGCCUCAGAGGGGGCAAAAGGAGAGAAAAGUUCCUGUGACAGCUGACCCGUAAACUCAUCUAAAUCAUCCAGUCUGUCACCCUGUGCAGGAGUUAACUGAUCCUCCUCCUCAUCAUCAUCAUCAAAACUCACUAAGAGAUUUUUCUCAGCUUGUUCUGUAACGACUGGUGGAGUUUUUGGUCUCUGUUCGGUCAGGUGUUUUUUCUUUUCUGGUCUUUUCCCCUUAGGAGACUGUAUAGGGGCCUGUAUAGGGGCCUGUAUAGGGGCCUGUACAGGAGGGUUCAGAGGUGGAAAAUCAUCUCCCAGAAGCCAGUCGUUCCUCAUAGGAGACCAGCCUGACAUUAAAGUGGGCGAUGUUUGUAUCUGGAUGUGUGUGACCCCUGUCUUAGGUCUGACGACCCCUGUGUUGACCGUUUCUGUCCCCUGCUGAGCUGAGGCUAGAUCUGCACCACUAACCACCUGAGCAAAUGUUCUGUUGCUACUGGUUUCAGAAUUCGAUGGUACUCUAGACCCGGAUGGAGUCCCAGAACGCAAUUCGGUCAGGACCAAAGUUUCGGCCUGCUGAAUUGCCCUCUGGGAGAUCCUUUUGCCAAAAUUUCUCAUCGCCCAUUUGACAGCGAUCUCGAAAGCGUGUAACCAGUCUUUUCUCUGUGUCUCUCCCCGUAAGAUCCCCAGUGUGUGCUUUAUGAUAUCCUCAUAAUGUUGCUGUAACACCAACUGUGUCGUAAACGCCCAGUUCUUUGCAUUACCCUCCAGCAAUUCUUUUGUGGACAUUGUGGGGGCAAAGGGUUUGAUCACACUUUUAAGAAGCUCUGUUAACCUUUUAAGAGUGACAGGCUGGUUAUCUUCUAUCCGUGUGUCAAUAUUACUGAGGUGAUGGACAGAUCUGAUCAGAUGAUACAUAUUCUUAAUAAUUCUCCGAAAAGUGGGAGAAGCAGGAGAGUAUUCUGUAUUUUUUUGUGAAUCAAAGUGACUUUUUUGGCCCAUUCUUUUUUUCUGGUGAACAUAUUUUUGUGCAAACUGGCCAUUCUCACGUCUCCUGUUCUUUUCUACAUUACGAGGAGAAUAUUGUGUGUUUCUGUAUCUCUGGUCAGUAAACCUGUUCUGUUCAGUGGGGUAAAAAAUCUUAUUUUGCCCAAAAGUCACUCUCUUUUGUUUGGGUUUAAAUCCCCGAUUUAAAGGGCGUCGAUCACGUGACUGACGACGGAAAGGAUUUACAGUAUUCUCCGAUCGAGUUUCAUUCUGUACUCUGUUACUGUAACCCGCGAGUGAUUCUCCGUGUCUGAUGACCUCAUAUGGGAAGUCACGAGAUCGCUCGACAAAAUAAUCGUCCCUCAUAAAUCGUCCCCGUCUGGGGAAAUCCCUGUUAUCUGUGUGAGGGAUCAGACGCGCUCGAGGGGUCGUGAAACGACCCUUGUUCUGAAAAACGAACACCAUCCUUAUUUUACUGAACGAUCAAAUCCACAACUGUGUAUUCUUUUAAUCUUUUAUUCUAUUUCUGAAAAUUAAAAAAAAUGUUUUUUUUGUCCUUUUAUAUUUUUUUAACUUUUUUUGGGAUUUUCUUGUGUUUUUUUUAACAAUAAAGAGAUAAACCAACUUUUUUUGGAUUUUUUAGUGUUUUUUUUAACAGUAUGAAAUGAACCAGAUGUGUGAUUUUAUAUGAAAUCAAAAGAAAAGAUCAAAGGAUCAAAAUAAAAUUUCAAAAUAAUGGAAAAAAACAAAAAUAUAUUUUCUUUUAGGGAAAUAAAUGUUUCUGUGUUCAAGCCUAUAUCGCGACGUUUCGAUACUUUGAUGUAUCUUCUUCAGGCAGGCUUGAACUUUUCAAUUUUCUGUUUUAUCUCGAGAUACAAAAUAACCGUUUUACUAAAUCACCAACCAAGAUGUUACUGCAAGCAGUGCAACAAUCCUUCUGACUCGGACUGCGUUCCGUUAGGUAUAUCAAAGCCAGUCGAUGACGUCAUCGGCACGCCAUCCUCCAAUCCCUUCAAACCAAUACAAAAUUUAAACCAAACAAGCACACGAUGCAUUUUUCAAAUUUGAAUUAUGUGCGUUGCAUUUUUUAUUUUUUAUUUAUUUUUAGUCGAUGCAUGUUGCUUUUUUUUAUAUAGAGAAUUUUUUUCUUUGCUUUUUUCAAAUUUAAACGAUGCUCUUUGCCUCUUUCAAUUUGAAAAAUGCAGCUCCUCAGUCUGCAUGUAACAAAGAAAACAAUGCAUCCCUCAAAUGUGCUCCAAGUAGCCAUAAACAAUGUUUUUUAAUCAUUUAUGACUAUUAAAGCCCUCUAGUGCCUCAUAAUAUAUGUAUUUUUAUUUAUUGUAUAUUUAUGUAUAUUCAGUUCUGUUUCUAUAUGUUUUUCACAAUCAUCUCUUUCUGUUUUAUAGAUAGAUACUGAAAAAAAUAUAUUCUAGUGCCCAUGAAGUAUUUAUAAUUUUAUCUUUAUGCUUUUUUAUGCUUUUUAUAUUUGUAUUAUAUUUAACCUCGUGUGUCUUUAUAAGUAAUCCAUGAAAACCAUGAAUUCUAGUGCCCAUGAAGUAUGUAUUCAUAUUUUAAUUUUUUAAUAUGUAUUAGGGUGUAUAUUUAUUUAUUUUAAUAAUAAUAAAAAAUAAGAACAUAUGAAAGCCCAUAAAGUGUGGUUCCGCUGAGUACCCACUAGAGGUCAUGAGAAGAGAGGGCCCAGAGAGGGAGGCUCAGGCUGGGUUAGGAAAAAGGAGAGUUUUCCCAGGAUGGGACCCUGAGGGUCCCACUCUGGGUUGUGCACGGUCCAUCCCUCCACUGGUCACCCCCAAAUCACAUACAGACCAAGAGAGGUCACAGCAGGCCAACUGUUAAGGGCUGUUCAUAGGGCUAUUGAGGCCAGGGCUAUUCAGUUUAGGUCUGGUUAAGUUUAGGUUUGUGCAGGAUGGGUCUGUAAAAUCCAGGUAUGAAUCCUGGGGUGUCUGGUAGGUUUUAGGUUUGGAUAUGGUGGGUUGGUUAGGUUUAGGUUGUGUUAUGGUUAGUCGGUUAGGUUUUAGGUUUGGGUUAAGGUCAGGUAGAUCUGCUAAGUCUCAUUAAGACCUCUUGGGAAUUUUGUAUCCAGUCUCAUGAUCCAUAAUCUUUCAUAUUUAAGUCUAUCACACAACGACCAGAAUGGGUCGGAUUGAAGUCCAGUCACCCUGAAGGCCUCAAGGCCGUGGGUGAGGAAGUGCUGGACUACGUGUCUACGUUUCUCUAUUUUAUUUUUUAUGUUGUGUGUGUGCUGAUAGACUCGGACCUUUAAAGCAUUUUUUGUCUGGCCUACAUAUUGUUUGGAACACUUUGUACAAUAAAUCAAAUAAAUACAGUUCUCUGUUACUGGAGUGAGAUGCUGUGAGAUCUGAAAGACUUGUUUUGUUGAACGAUUGAAUACCCAUUUUUGCUGAUCAAAGUAUUUACAGAGUGACUUUUUCUUCUGUGGUGCCAUAGGUCUGAGUUUGCUAUUUACUAGAACGUCUGAUAGAUUUGUAUUUCUCCUAUAGGCAGCUAUUUGUUUGUGUUUCUGUAAGAAGGGAGUGUUUUCAAAGAACCUUUCAAAAUUAGACUUAGCUGCACGGUUUAAUUGUUUGCUCAUUAGCGAGAAAUUGGACACUAAUGGAAUAAUUUUGUUCUUUUCACCCUCUUUAGGGUCCCUUGGAGUCCCGGGGAGGAGAAAAGUCUUCAGAGCCCUUCUUAAGAAGGACCUCGAGUAUCCUCUGUCCCUCAGGGCCCUGAACAGAAUUUUGGUUGCUUCCAUAAAACAGGAAUGUUCUGUGCAUAUCCUGUGAAAUCUGAGUAAUUGAGAUUUCACUAUACCUUUAAAUGUAUGUUUAGGAUGGAAGCUGUGUUUGUGCAGUAAGGAAUGCGUGUCCGUUUCUUUGAAAUACACUCUAAAGUCUAGCUGUCCUGUCUCUUCAAAUUUCUGUCCCUUAUAUGACACCACAUCUAGAAAGUUGACCUCUGUGGGGUCAAUUGUAUAUUUAAUUGUAAUCGAUCUCUGAUGGGUAUUCAAGUGUUCUGCAAAGUCCCUAAAAUCAUCCAUGGAGUAAGACCACACUCCCCAUAUGUCAUCCAGAAAUCUAAAGUAAUGCAGAGGCCUUUUUGUGCACGAACCCAGAGCCGAUUGUUCCCAUCUCGCCAUGAAGAUGUUGGCGUAGGAAGGGGCAAACUUUUUGCCCAUGGCUGUGCCUUUAACUUGCAAAUAAUAUUUAGAAUUAAAUUCAAAGUCAUUUUUAGUUAAGUUUAUAUCUAAUAAUUUUAAAAUAUAAUCAUCAGGCCUUUUUGGGUCUGGAUAUUGAAGCAUGCACUCCUGGACCGCCUGGAGGCCCGCUUCAGUUUCUAUGUUCGUAUAUAAGCUGUCAAUAUCUAUGGUGAACAAAAAGGCUCCUCUGGGAAUACUGAUGUCUUUAACUUUCUGGAUGAAGUCAUAAGUGUCCUUCAGAUAGCUCGGGUGUUUCUGAGAGAUGGGGUUGAGAUAAUACUCGAUGUACUCAGCUGUCUGAUAAGUUUCACUGUUGCAAUCAGACACUAUGGGUCUGCCGGGUGGAAUCUCGUGUGGAAUACUCCAUUUUUCAGGCUCCUUGUGAAUCUUAGGCAAUAAAUAAAAUCUUCUCAUUCGAGGAGUGCCACUGCCGCUUAAAUAAUCCCUCUGUUUUGAGUUAAUGAUACCCUUGUCAUACAUCUGUUCUAAGAUUUUUCUAACCUGUUUCAUGGUUUCAAAAUAAAUGGGUUCUUCUAAGGGUUUGUAGUGGUCACUGAUGUUUAAUUGUCUCUCUCCCUCCCAGACAUAUUGCUCUCUAUCCAUGAUGACAAUGGCAUUUCCCUUGUCAGCAGGUUUAAUGACAAUUUCUCUGAGGUUUUUUAGUGUGUUCAAGGCCCUCAGUUCCUCCCUCUGGAGGUUGGGCCUUGGUUUCAAGCUCCAAUUCAAGUUCUUAUAAGCAUACUCAUCAGCUGUGAUCAGCUGGCCUACUUGUUUGGGAAGUCUGCUCAAGGCCGGAGUCCAAUCUGAAUUGUGUGUGAAAGACGGAAUAAAUGUGAGGCCUUUCAUGAGCAGGGAUGACUGUGAGGGAGAGAGAGUAAAGUGUUUGGAAAGAUUCACAACAAGCCUGUGUGCACCCUUUCUCGGGUGUUCACUCACUACAAGUUUAAAUAUCGUGCCCAGUGUUCCAACAUGUUCCUGGCUGUCUCUGCAGUCCAGUGCAGGCCGUCACUCUCUACCUGAAACUGAUCCUCUGGCAGGAGGGGGAUGAAGGAAUAAUUUUCCUCUAUGUAAUUGUUUAAUUCAUCUAAAAAUAUUUUUUCUCCUUCUGGGAGAGAUUGGGGGAUAUUGAUCAGGGGGAUCCACAGUUGGGCCUCUGGCAGUCUCUCUUGUGCCACCUGACUCAAUCUGGCACACUCUCUCAUCGCUGAGAUGCGUAAUCUUUGUGUGCGGUUAUUCAGGCCGAAUGCCAAGACUAUUUUUUCUACUUGUGUGUCUACUGUGGCUUUUUCUAUCAGAUUGGCAGCGUGCUGCAAUUUAGCCCCUGGAAAACUGUCAAUCUGUAAAUCAGGAAUGUCAAAAGCGGGAAUCCUGCCCAAAUUGGAGUCCCCGAUGACCACGUGUUUCUCUUUGAGUGCCAGUUUCCACUCAUUGAACUUUUUGUUAGUUCUAAGAGAUAAUGUUUUCCAUUUUUUUGGAAGUUUCCCCCCUCUCUGUCUCCUGAGGAGCCCCUGGUUGAAGAGAUGUCACAGAAUAUUCUGAAAAAUCAAAGUCUGAGAGAUUGGGUGACCCUGACGGAUUUUGGAAGAUCUGGGCACUCUCAGCUGUGUCCCUUAGAGGAUUUACUCUAUGUACUGCAUUGGCUACAAUGGGGACCAGAGAAGGCAGGCCUGUGGUUAUCGGGGCCUCAGCCUCAGAGGGGGCAAAAGGAGAGAAAAGUUCCUGUGACAGCUGACCCGUAAACUCAUCUAAAUCAUCCAGUCUGUCACCCUGUGCAGGAGUUAACUGAUCCUCCUCCUCAUCAUCAUCAUCAAAACUCACUAAGAGAUUUUUCUCAGCUUGUUCUGUAACGACUGGUGGAGUUUUUGGUCUCUGUUCGGUCAGGUGUUUUUUCUUUUCUGGUCUUUUCCCCUUAGGAGACUGUAUAGGGGCCUGUAUAGGGGCCUGUAUAGGGGCCUGUACAGGAGGGUUCAGAGGUGGAAAAUCAUCUCCCAGAAGCCAGUCGUUCCUCAUAGGAGACCAGCCUGACAUUAAAGUGGGCGAUGUUUGUAUCUGGAUGUGUGUGACCCCUGUCUUAGGUCUGACGACCCCUGUGUUGACCGUUUCUGUCCCCUGCUGAGCUGAGGCUAGAUCUGCACCACUAACCACCUGAGCAAAUGUUCUGUUGCUACUGGUUUCAGAAUUCGAUGGUACUCUAGACCCGGAUGGAGUCCCAGAACGCAAUUCGGUCAGGACCAAAGUUUCGGCCUGCUGAAUUGCCCUCUGGGAGAUCCUUUUGCCAAAAUUUCUCAUCGCCCAUUUGACAGCGAUCUCGAAAGCGUGUAACCAGUCUUUUCUCUGUGUCUCUCCCCGUAAGAUCCCCAGUGUGUGCUUUAUGAUAUCCUCAUAAUGUUGCUGUAACACCAACUGUGUCGUAAACGCCCAGUUCUUUGCAUUACCCUCCAGCAAUUCUUUUGUGGACAUUGUGGGGGCAAAGGGUUUGAUCACACUUUUAAGAAGCUCUGUUAACCUUUUAAGAGUGACAGGCUGGUUAUCUUCUAUCCGUGUGUCAAUAUUACUGAGGUGAUGGACAGAUCUGAUCAGAUGAUACAUAUUCUUAAUAAUUCUCCGAAAAGUGGGAGAAGCAGGAGAGUAUUCUGUAUUUUUUUGUGAAUCAAAGUGAGUUUUUUGGCCCAUUCUUUUUUUCUGGUGAACAUAUUUUUGUGCAAACUGGCCAUUCUCACGUCUCCUGUUCUUUUCUACAUUACGAGGAGAAUAUUGUGUGUUUCUGUAUCUCUGGUCAGUAAACCUGUUCUGUUCAGUGGGGUAAAAAAUCUUAUUUUGCCCAAAAGUCACUCUCUUUUGUUUGGGUUUAAAUCCCCGAUUUAAAGGGCGUCGAUCACGUGACUGACGACGGAAAGGAUUUACAGUAUUCUCCGAUCGAGUUUCAUUCUGUACUCUGUUACUGUAACCCGCGAGUGAUUCUCCGUGUCUGAUGACCUCAUAUGGGAAGUCACGAGAUCGCUCGACAAAAUAAUCGUCCCUCAUAAAUCGUCCCCGUCUGGGGAAAUCCCUGUUAUCUGUGUGAGGGAUCAGACGCGCUCGAGGGGUCGUGAAACGACCCUUGUUCUGAAAAACGAACACCAUCCUUAUUUUACUGAACGAUCAAAUCCACAACUGUGUAUUCUUUUAAUCUUUUAUUCUAUUUCUGAAAAUUAAAAAAAAUGUUUUUUUUGUCCUUUUAUAUUUUUUUAACUUUUUUUGGGAUUUUCUUGUGUUUUUUUUAACAAUAAAGAGAUAAACCAACUUUU